UGAACGCUGGCGGCAGGCCUAACACAUGCAAGUCGAACGAGGUAGCAAUACCUAGUGGCGGACGGGUGAGUAACGCGUGGGAACGUGCCCCUUGGUACGGAAUAGCCCCGGGAAACUGGGAGUAAUACCGUAUGAGCUCGAAAGAGGAAAGAUUUAUCGCCAAGGGAUCGGCCCGCGUUGGAUUAGGUAGUUGGUGGGGUAAUGGCCUACCAAGCCGACGAUCCAUAGCUGGUUUGAGAGGAUGAUCAGCCACACUGGGACUGAGACACGGCCCAGACUCCUACGGGAGGCAGCAGUGGGGAAUCUUAGACAAUGGGGGAAACCCUGAUCUAGCCAUGCCGCGUGAUCGAUGAAGGCCUUAGGGUUGUAAAGAUCUUUCAGAUGGGAAGAUAAUGACGGUACCAUCAGAAGAAGCCCCGGCUAACUCCGUGCCAGCAG
RNAcentral lists this ribosomal RNA (438 nucleotides) under uncultured bacterium. RNAcentral's name for it is "bacterial SSU rRNA". It matches the Rfam family "Bacterial small subunit ribosomal RNA", at positions 30 to 514 of the family's 1533-position model. The record is from RNAcentral.